RNA transcript from Glossina fuscipes, 1702 nucleotides. RefSeq lists it as uncharacterized. NCBI's taxonomy places the organism in Eukaryota, Metazoa, Arthropoda, Insecta, Diptera, Glossinidae. The transcript has 9 exons. The record is from RefSeq and is a predicted model, not a curated record.
CCUUUAUUAUUUCAUUUUGGUCGAGUACGCACUCCGUUCACAAACAAUACCGUCCGACUGAGAAGACAACGCACUGCUGUCAUUGUGAUCGUUGUCGUUCUCGCUGUCGCUGUCAUACAACAACAAUCGAACGAGUCCUUUGAAACGAACCAAAAACAAAUCGAUCAAAAUGUUCAAAAGCCAUUUGGAAAUGAUUGGUCGUAAUGAGACGCCCAGCAAGAAAGCCAAAUUUUGGACCUCUUACAUCAGAUCUUUAAAAGGAUCUGAGGAUAUCCGUGCCCAUGAGACUCCAAGACUUGGACGCCCCUAUAGCUCAUACUUAGAUGCCCCUGCCACAUACAGGAGCAUCUUUGAUGAGCCUGUCACUGCUCAAGAUCGCGUCCUCUCUCAUGGUUACAGAUAUUUACCAGUCAGCAGAGAUACUUAUGGCUAUUCACCACGUGCCAUCUACGAUCAUCACUAUAGCAGAACAAUUCCAGCUACCUACGAAGCAGAAAGGGCCUGGAAUGAACACUUGAGACGUAUGCAAGAAAUUGAACGCAGAUACCCAUCCCGUUAUGGUUUGUAUUUGAAGGACAAGCCCUACACACCUCACUCGUUGGUGCCUUUGGAAUUUGAGCCUGAGGAUAAAAUGUUACAAGAUCUUAACAGGGCUCGUCGCUCUCCCUCACCAAUGGUGGGUCCAAAUCGUGUGAAACGCGCUGGCAGUGAACCCUACGUACCACCACCAACCUGUUGGUCACGCGGUCCUAGUCCGCCACGUGGUCGUUCCAUGACUCGGGGACCGUCGGUAUUUGAUCGUGCUACCAGCUUGGCUCCUUUUACACGUCCUCUGUUCCGGGCCAGUUCGUUAGAACCGUUGGAUGAACUAUUUGCCCGUAAGUUAGAGAGGCCUAGCGUUUUUGAGCGUGCUGGCUCACCAAGUCCCACUCCUGUCAAGGCCGGUCGCUGGGGACCGCGUCCCACUGAAGUUGCCUUUGAUGCUGAUGGACUUCCCAUCUUCCAUCCCAGAAACCGUUUCAGGGAUAUGUUCGAUCCCAAUCCGGCUAUGCCAAUAUCCGCUUUCACUCGCGAUCCCUUCUGGUGGGAUAUUGAAGAUUUGGCUCCCUUCCGUGCUGGCUCGCCCUUCCGCGGUUUAUCAUUACCGCCACGUGGUAGCAGUGUAGCCCGCGAUUCGUUCUUAUCACCUGUCAAGAACCGUUAUUUAUGGGCCAAGCAUCCUGCUAGGCCAUUAACACCCGAACAAGAGGAUAUGAAUAAUUUAUAAUAAAUAAAAAUCAAUCAAUUAAUUCAUAUAAAGCAAUCAUAAACAUCUACGUAAGAAACUUUGUUUGACAAAACUAAAAAAAAAACCAAAAAAAAAAAAUAAAAAUUAACGAAAAUUGCUCAUCGCUUACCUUGGUAAAAGACUGGUCAUUCUUUUGCGGACUCUUGAACGAUGCACGAUGUUACGAUUAAUAUAUAUUUUUAAGGAUUUUCGGCCCAUAAGCAACGAUUCUAUGAUAAAGCGUUUCAUAUACGUAACGAACAACGAAAUAUAACGAAGAUUUUUCCCUGCCUUUAAAUCGCUCACACAUAGCCUAAGUGUAUUAAAAAAUAUGAACCUUCCGUUCUCAUGACAUCGAGAAAAACGACGAAAGAAAAACUUUUUUUGUGCUUUUAAUAAUUUUUCCCUUUUAUAUAUCAAAUCCUUUUUCCCCUC